CAGCUGAUCCCUGGUUCGAUCCCGAGCCAUGGGUCAGCAUCCGAGUGUCAUUUUGCACAUUCUGGGUUUCCUCUGGGUUCUCCGGUUUCCUCCCACCUCCCAAAAACAUAUCUGUGGGUGGAUUGGCUACGCUCAAUUGCCCCAGGUGUAAAUGCGUGUGCGGGACUGGCAUCCCGUUCAGGGUGUAUACCUGCCCCAUGCCCAGUAUUCCCAGAACAAACCAGGAUAAAGUAGCUCUGAGUGAGUGUUUAAGGCAUGAAGUUAACUCGAAGGCACAGACAAGGCGGUGGUGGAGUGUUCAAGCCAUGCAUGUUUAUACACAUAACAGACACUCAUCAUUUUAGCUCUUGAAUAUAGUUACCUCAGAAUAAAAACAGUCUAGAGUGAGCAGGAGCACCAAAGUGUUGACAGUUGUUGACAAAAACACCAGUGACAUGUGUCACAUCUGCAGCACCGUCGCUGACAUCCUGGCUAAAAUACAAAUAACUCCCUAUGGGACGUAUAGUGCACUGCAUAAAGUGUGGAAUUCGUUGUUUAAUAGUCUACGUAGUGCACUUGUAUAGGGAGCAGGGAGGCAUUUGGGAUUCAGCCCUCGUCUGGUUGAGCCGAACCAGCUAGCUUGGGUAGCUAAGGAGCUAACAAAACGCGACAGAGCAGAAAUAAGGGUUGCGGGGAACCUGGAGCCCAUCCAAGGGAGCAUCGGGCACAAGGCGGGGUACACCCUGAACGGGGUGCCAAUCCAUCACAGGGCACAAUCACAUACACAUUAACACACCCAUUAAUACACUACGGACACGUUAGGCAUGCUAGUCAGCUUACCAUGCAUGUUUUUGGACUGGGGAGGAAACCGGACUACCUGGAGGAAACCCCCACAGCACGGGAAUCGAACCCCCAACCCUGGAAGUGUGAGUAAAAGUCCUGAAGACUCUUCCCUCCUGGAAAACCUACUGACAGUUACAAUGCGCUGACGCUGGAGACUUCUUCCAUAAAUGUUAAAUAAACCUCUCCUUACAGAAAGCUUAACCAUAACAACGAUUUCUUUGUUAAAUAACAAGAUCAUUUCUGAACCCAUUUAUUAUUAGUCUUAGAUUAUGUGGAGUGUCCACCAUACCUUAUGAAUAAAAUGCUAGUAUAGAAAUGCUAACAUAGUAGAACAAGUGUACUAAUAUAAACUUUUGAUUUGAAGU
Molecule: long non-coding RNA, 1187 nt
Organism: Ictalurus furcatus (blue catfish)
Lineage: Eukaryota; Metazoa; Chordata; Actinopteri; Siluriformes; Ictaluridae
Exons: 3
Source: RefSeq, a predicted model, not a curated record